UGCAGAGUGUCUGCCGUGCCAGAAGAGUUGGGAGAGUUUACUGGAAAAGUUUGACCAGUUUUAUGACCAAAAUUCAGGCCAGAAUCCUGGGAAAGGAGCCCGACUGUACUGUCAAAACACGUCCGCAGACCUGGUGGUCGUUGAUGACGUCAAAGAACAGAGUCCUGCCAGUAAUCAUGAGAUGAAUUUCUGCUCGUUGGGCCAAACGGACAACAACUGGCUCUGGAUCGAUGGGCGAAAUGAGAGUCUUGGGUUCUGGAUGACCGGAGUGGUUUGGUUUUCUGGUCCGUACGCCACGGUGAUAACAUGGUGGACAUCCUCAGCGACGUUAUUCACUCCAACGUCUCUGUUUGGAAACGGCUUCAGCUGUUAGACUGAAACUCAGCAGAAGCUUCACAUGAUGCCUGCAUGCAGAAAUAUAACUUUAUUUUAAUUACAGAAGUACUUUACCUCA
Molecule: long non-coding RNA, 454 nt
Organism: Poecilia latipinna (sailfin molly)
Lineage: Eukaryota; Metazoa; Chordata; Actinopteri; Cyprinodontiformes; Poeciliidae
Exons: 3
Source: RefSeq, a predicted model, not a curated record